UACGUAGGGUGCGAGCGUUAUUCGGAAUUACUGGGCGUAAAGCGUGCGUAGGCGGCUUUGCAAGUCAGAUGUGAAAUCCCCGGGCUUAACCUGGGAACUGCGUUUGUGACUGCAUGGCUGGAGUGCGGCAGAGGGGGAUGGAAUUCCGCGUGUAGCAGUGAAAUGCGUAGAUAUGCGGAGGAACACCGAUGGCGAAGGCAAUCCCCUGGGCCUGCACUGACGCUCAUGCACGAAAGCGUGGGGAGCAAACAGG
This 253-nucleotide ribosomal RNA is filed under the name uncultured bacterium. Its description in RNAcentral is "partial 16S ribosomal RNA". It matches the Rfam family "Bacterial small subunit ribosomal RNA", at positions 524 to 776 of the family's 1533-position model. The record is from RNAcentral.